This is a long non-coding RNA of Zonotrichia albicollis (white-throated sparrow), 568 nucleotides long. RefSeq lists it as uncharacterized. Lineage: Eukaryota; Metazoa; Chordata; Aves; Passeriformes; Passerellidae. The record is from RefSeq and is a predicted model, not a curated record.
AGGGCAGUUAUAGCUCGCUGGAUGGGGUUUCAGGAGAGUUUAAGGAUGAAGACCCGUGGCUCUUACUGUGUUUCUGCUGGUACAGUUGCCCUACAGCUUAUAGCCUGGUGCCUGGAUCCCUUAGUGCAAACGGGCCCUUUGCCUUUCCUAGAUGCAGACCCAGAAGAGCUGGUAGUCUUGGAUGAGCACCUCUCAGUCUACAGCAGGAUGUUCUCUUAGAGUCCCCUGCAUGAGCUUGGAGUAUGUAAAGAGAGUCUGGUUCUACUAAGGAAGCCUGUCGCUUAUCUUCUGGGGAGUGUUUAGGAACCUUUUUAAUGAAUUCCAAUUAAGAGUCUUUCUGACACCAGGGGAUGCAGAGGUCAAAGAAUGCCCUGAGCAGCACAGCAACAGACCAUGUGGAGCACAGAUAAAGGGCAUUGGAGCACCCAGAGCUGACUGCAGCCGGGCUGCUGGGUGGGGUCAGCAUCUGGGAUCUGCCGUCACCAAAGCCACCUUGGGCCCCCCAGCUGUUUGCUAUGCAGGUUAUUUAAGUCAGAUGAGUCAAGCCCUGACCAGGGCCAUUGCUUGC